AUACGGAGGAUCCGAGCGUUAUCCGGAUUUAUUGGGUUUAAAGGGAGCGUAGGCGGACGCUUAAGUCAGCUGUGAAAGUUUGGGGCUCAACCUUAAAAUUGCAGUUGAUACUGGUUUCCUUGAGUACGGUACAGGUAGGCGGAAUUCGUGGUGUAGCGGUGAAAUGCUUAGAUAUGACGAAGAACACCGAUUGCGUAGGCAGCUGACCAGACCGCAAAUGACGCUCAUGCACGAAAGUGCGGGGAUCGAACAGGAUUAGAUACCCUGGUAGUCCGCACAGUAAACGAUGAAUACUUGUUUUCGGCGAUAUAAUGUCGGAGGCAAAGCGAAAGCGAUAAGUAUUCCACCUGGGGAGUACGCCGGCAACGGUGAAACUCAAAUGAAUUGGCGGGG
Molecule: ribosomal RNA, 393 nt
Filed under: uncultured bacterium
Lineage: Bacteria
Description: partial 16S ribosomal RNA
Rfam family: Bacterial small subunit ribosomal RNA
Source: RNAcentral